RNAcentral lists this unclassified non-coding RNA (347 nucleotides) under Hevea brasiliensis (rubber tree). Lineage: Eukaryota; Viridiplantae; Streptophyta; Magnoliopsida; Malpighiales; Euphorbiaceae. The record is from RNAcentral.
GCCCACUUGCAAUUGAUGUGGACUCCACCAUCAAUCACCUUACCUAAUGUCCUCAUCUCAUCUCUCACCUUGUUAACUCCGUCAAAACGUUAGCCUCCGUCUGCCUAAACCUAGUUAACAUUGGAUUCCAAACGGCUACCAGACGCUAUACUUUAACCUGUCAACUAAGGCACGACACAUUAUUUGUGCACGUGUCCAAAACCCAUUGCGUGAAUUUCUCCGUUGCCGUGACGAAGUCGGUUAUCUCCUGUUCUAUAAAUAAAACGCCGCACGCCUUCCCUUUCCACCGUUGUUAUUCACUUAUUCUCUUCCCUUCUCUCGUGAAGCUCUCGGAAAUUAAUCAAAAA